This 348-nucleotide unclassified non-coding RNA is filed under the name soil metagenome. RNAcentral's name for it is "partial contains 5.8S ribosomal RNA, internal transcribed spacer 2, and large subunit ribosomal RNA". The stretch from base 1 to 120 matches the Rfam family "5.8S ribosomal RNA", at positions 35 to 154 of the family's 154-position model. The record is from RNAcentral.
GAUGAAGAACGUAGCAAAAUGCGAUAAGUAAUGUGAAUUGCAGAAUUCAGUGAAUCAUCGAAUCUUUGAACGCACAAUGCGCCCGCUGGUAUUCCGGCGGGCAUGCCUGUUCGAGCGUCAUUUCAACCCUCAAGCCCCCGGGUUUGGUGUUGGGGAUCGGCUCUGCCCUUCUGGGCGGUGCCGCCCCCGAAAUACAUUGGCGGUCUCGCUGCAGCCUCCAUUGCGUAGUAGCUAACACCUCGCAACUGGAACGCGGCGCGGCCAUGCCGUAAAACCCCAACUUCUGAAUGUUGACCUCGGAUCAGGUAGGAAUACCCGCUGAACUUAAGCAUAUCAAUAAGCGGAGGA